CAACUAACGGUGAUGAGAGCGACUUACUCUCCAGCAUCAUCUCCUAGACCAGGAAGUCUGGAUAUCCAAGCGCUUAAGGACAGUCUAAUCCCUUCUUCUCAUGGGGUCAUCAAGCAGACUGCAUCUAGAGUUUUUGGAGCUUCUGGCAAUCUGAUGGCCUUCUACUUCUCAUCAAGAUGAUUUUAUGCUCCUGGCUGAGCUGUGGUUUUCACAUAUGAAUGUUUUCUCU
RNAcentral lists this long non-coding RNA (229 nucleotides) under Struthio camelus australis. Its description in RNAcentral is "lncRNA (ENSSCUG00000017008.1)". Lineage: Eukaryota; Metazoa; Chordata; Aves; Struthioniformes; Struthionidae. The record is from RNAcentral.